This 440-nucleotide ribosomal RNA is filed under the name uncultured bacterium. RNAcentral's name for it is "partial 16S ribosomal RNA". It matches the Rfam family "Bacterial small subunit ribosomal RNA", at positions 338 to 795 of the family's 1533-position model. The record is from RNAcentral.
CCUACGGGAGGCAGCAGUGGGGAAUAUUGCACAAUGGGGGAAACCCUGAUGCAGCGACGCCGCGUGAGUGAAGAAGUAUUUCGGUAUGUAAAGCUCUAUCAGCAGGGAAGAAAAUGACGGUACCUGAUUAAGAAGCCCCGGCUAACUACGUGCCAGGAGCCGCGGUAAUACGGAGGGGGCAAGCGUUAUCCGGAUUUACUGGGGGGAAAGGGAGCGUAGACGGGAGGACAAGUCAGGAGUGAAAUGCCGGGGCUUAACCCCGGAACUGCUUUGGAAACUGUGCAGGUAGAGUGCAGGAGAGGUAAGUGGAAUUCCUGGUGUAGCGGUGAAAUGCGGAGAGAUUAGGAGGAACACCAGUGGCGAAGGCGGCUUACUGGACUGUAACUGACGUUGAGGCGCGAAAGCGUGGGGAGCAAACAGGAUUAGAUACCCCAGUAGUC